CCUACGGGUGGCAGCAGUGAGGAAUAUUGCUCAAUGGGGGAAACCCUGAAGCAGCAACGCCGCGUGGAGGAUGAAGGUUUUCGGAUUGUAAACUCCUUUUGUUAGAGAAGAUAAUGACGGUAUCUAACGAAUAAGCACCGGCUAACUCCGUGCCAGCAGCCGCGGUAAUACGUAGGGAGCGAGCGUUGUCCGGAAUUACUGGGCGUAAAGGGCGCGUAGGCGGGAACUUAAGUUAGAUGUGAAAACUCCGGGCUUAACCUGGAGACUGCAUUUAAAACUGGGUUUCUUGAGGGCAGGAGAGGAAAGUGGAAUUCCUAGUGUAGCGGUGAAAUGCGUAGAUAUUAGGAGGAACACCAGUGGCGAAGGCGACUUUCUGGACUGUACCUGACGCUGAGGCGCGAAAGCAUGGGGAGCGAACAGGAUUAGAUACCCCGGUAGUC
This 440-nucleotide ribosomal RNA is filed under the name uncultured bacterium. RNAcentral's name for it is "partial 16S ribosomal RNA". It matches the Rfam family "Bacterial small subunit ribosomal RNA", at positions 338 to 795 of the family's 1533-position model. The record is from RNAcentral.